This is an RNA transcript of Brienomyrus brachyistius, 3475 nucleotides long. It is a transcript of the gene named myosin-7-like, with no coding region annotated. Lineage: Eukaryota; Metazoa; Chordata; Actinopteri; Osteoglossiformes; Mormyridae. The transcript is spliced from 7 exons. The record is from RefSeq and is a predicted model, not a curated record.
UCUAUCCCAGAUGCUACAGGUGGAAGGCAAGGAACAGCUUAGGAUGGGGCACCAACCCAUCUCAGGGCACACUCAUAUACACACCAUUCAUUCACACCUAUGGGCUAUUCGGCAACCACAGUCAGCCACAGCAUAUUUUGGGACUGUGGGGGGAUACUGGAGUACCUGGAGGACAGCCCAUGAGGACACAGGGAGAACAUGCAAACUCCCCACAUGUGGAACCCUGGCAGAGACUCAAACCCAGCUUCCAGAGAUGUGAGGCAACAAUGCCAACCACUGGACCACCCCUUGGCCUACACACUCCCCUCCUUCUUCAGCUCUACCAAACACAGGCACAUAGACAGACACAUCCUCCUGGGAUGUCAUUCCUAAAUAUGUGAGCACAGCCCAUUUAUAAACAGUGAAGAAGGGCCGAGAUCACUCACUGUUUCAUCUCAUGAGUUACAGUGCUGAACGUCCUACCACACACUUCGUAACGGUACCAAUUCCCAGACGGCUGAGUCCGGGGUAGCGGCCCCCCACCUGAGGAUGUCAGAGAAGCAGCAUCUGGGGGCACAAACGCGCCCCUUCGUCAUGAAGAAGGAGGAGGAGUAUGUGAGAGUCAACAUCCUCAGCCGAGACGGAGGUGUAGUUACUGCUGAGACUGAGAAAGGGAAGGUAGGAUCUUCUUUCUCGCAGUACAGGCACCGCUGUUGCAGUUUCAUUGUAAGGAAAUUGAAAUGCACUGUUAGUAUAGGGAUGUGAAAAGGGAUGUACAACAAUGAAACUGAUGAAAUUAUGUCCCUUUAACAGACACUCGUUGAAAGAAGUGAUGAAGAAAACCAUUUAACCAUAAAUACCUAUUACUGGAGCACCAAAUAACAAUGUCUAACAAGUUUUUAAUUAUUUUUUUUCCAAAAUUUGACCCUCCCUUUUUAAAAAAGAAAUAAUAGACCUCUAUCUAAUGGCUGAGCUGUCAGUUUACGGUGAAUAGAAGCUGAAAAAUCGCAGAAUUUUUAACAGUAUUCCUGAAAUAAUCAUUUUAAUCUCUCGUUAGAACCCUGAAACAAUAUAUUGUUUUUUUUUGCACUCCAUCAACAUGAAUUUGGCCUACAAACGUCUCAUCAAUUACAAUGGCACACAGGUCUGUAUGUACUGACAUGCUGCAUCAUACAGCAUGUCUGGUUCCUACGAAUCAAGGGGGAGCACAGCAUUGCUACCCUUUCCUCUGCCAUUAUAAAAAUUGAUGUCCAUCACUAAGAAUGAAAGCAAUGAAGGUCUCACUACACUGCAGUACGUUUCCCUGUAAUAUACAUAUCCAUACUAAGGCAUAUGUUAACGCAUAAGAUUGUUUUUUAAUAAUAUAAUCUAAUUUCUUUGCUUGUUCACCCUUUACUGACAUCAACCACGCAGUUGAGCAUGUUUUUGUGAAAUUCUGGCACAAUUUAGUAUCAUAUUCCUAUCCUUUAAAGAAUCUACUGUACUAUAUAAAAAACAUCAUGUUGUGCCCCUAACCUAACAAAUCCCCACUUUAUGCCCUAAUGUUUGGGGAGUGAUCUGUGGUGAUGCACUUGUCCUCGGAGCGGGGAAAGUGCAGGCACUGUAGCUGUGUUAGAAUAAGAUUCCCUUUAUGCAGAUUGAUUAAGGGGGGUUGGAGCCCCACACCAAUCAGGAUGCUGGGCAGAUUUGUUUUCUUCCCAUAGGUUUUUUCACUGUCAAAGUCAGCUCUACUGCAUGGUUUAGAAGUCAGUUAAAGGGUCAUGACAUUCAGUUUUAAAACACUUUCAUAGACUGUAUUAUUUUCAUAAUUUUCAAUAUCAUGUUUUCUUUUCGUAUGUUUUUUUUUACCUUCCAAAAACAGAGUUACACAAAUUGAACAGAAAAUAUAAAUAUUAAAUACAAUUACAGUUACGGACCAGCUGUGGGCCCCCCACCUGCCGGGCGUCGUGUGUUAUGCCGGACAAACCUGGUAGAUCUAAAUGUAGAGUGAGGUUGUGCUGGGAGUGACUGGUAGAGGCCAAUUGUUGUAGGGUUUAACAUUAGAAAAUGCCUAUAAUUUGAUUUGUUGCUGUGUUUUUUCCUUGACUUCCCCAUGGCUGAUUGCUCUUAUUUAAUUAGUGCAAUUGUGAGCACAGUUAGCAAACAUCCCAUAUUGAAAAGAUUACAGGAUGCGAUUUGUCCUAUAUUUAUUCUCAUUGAAAGUGGAAACCCCAGUUGUUUGUAAUCAAUUGCAUUCUCUAUGUUGGACUGGAUGGCAAUACUUCAAGAAGUGAAAUGAGUUUGCAGCUGCAACAACUUGAAACGCUCAAGUAAAGUACAAAUCUAAAAAAAAAAACUACUGAAGUACCAUAACAAAGUAUUUGUAUUUCAAUACUUCACACCUCUGCUCCGGAGGCCAAUCAGAGUGCAGCACUGGCAUUUGUGGAAACAAGAACUUCGGAGUGGGAGAAGUUUGAUGUGGCCGAUGAAAAUGACAUUCGAUCAGUCUCAAAGACAUUCUGGCAGGUGAUUCUGAAGGGAGAAGCAGGGCUUUCCCCCGUUGAGUACAGCAGGGAUGGAGUACUAUUGACCUCAAUAGUCGGAUGAUGGAAGGAGCACUUUGAGGACCUCCUGAAUCCUGCUGAAACGCCUUCCAUAAUGGAAGCAGAGUCAGACGAUUGGAGGAGCACUCGGCCAUCACUAGGGCUGAAGUCAUGGAGGCAGACUGGGCGAAUGAUAGGCCGGAUUGGUGCAGCAACAGCAGUUAUGUGGAUAUUGUACUGGUCUGUCGUGGUGAAGAAUGAAGUGUCGAAAGGUGACACUUUCAAUUUACUGGUCGACCUAUAUUCCUAUCCCUCUCCUAAAGUCAUGAUCGUUGGGUAAAGACCAAAAGAAUACAAGAGGUAGAAAUUAGCUUCUUUCACAUAGCAUCUGGACUCACCCUUAUAGAUAGGGUGAGGAGCUCAGACAUGUGUGAGGGGUUAGGGGCGUAUGCCAGGCAUCUCAGUAACAUAUAACUCAGUCAGUGGAGGACAAAAUAUAAGACUGAUGGAGCAGGACACCAGCGCUCACCUGGAGCGCAUGAAGAAAAACAUGGAGCAGACGAUCAAAGACCUGCAGCACCGGCUGGAUGAAGCUGAGCAGAUUGCAGUGAAGGGGGGCAAGAAGCAGGUGCAGAAGCUGGAAGCUCGGGUAAGAUAUCUGGAAGCGGAGAUGGAGGCAGAGCAGAGGAAGAGUGGCAACGGUCUGGAAGGAAUCCGCAAAUAACGAAGAGGACCAUGAGAACAUGGCUUGUCUUCAGGACUUGGUGGACAAACUGCAGCAUAAAGUGAAGACCUACAAAAGAGCUUCAGAAGAAGCUUUCUGUGACCCAGGAGGAACAAGCUAACACCAACCUAGGCAAGUUCCGCAAGCUGCAGCACGAGCUGGACGAAGCCGAGGAGAGAGCCGACAUCGCCGAGUUGCAGGUCAACAAGCUGCCUUGCUGGACUUCACUGGGCAAGUUUACUAAUCUCAA